RNAcentral lists this ribosomal RNA (234 nucleotides) under uncultured bacterium. RNAcentral describes it as "partial 16S ribosomal RNA". It matches the Rfam family "Bacterial small subunit ribosomal RNA", at positions 99 to 334 of the family's 1533-position model. The record is from RNAcentral.
CGCACGGGUGAGUAACGCGUAGAUAACCUACCCUUCAGCCUGGGACAACGUCGAGAAAUUGGCGCUAAUACCGGAUAACAAUGAGAGUCUAAUGGCUUUUAUUUGAAAGAUUUAUCACUGAAGGAUGGGUCUGCGUACCAUUAGUUUGUUGGUGGGGUAAUGGCCUACCAAGACUACGAUGGUUAGCGGGUCUGAGAGGAUGAUCCGCCACACUGGAACUGAGACACGGUCCAG